Pelobates cultripes (western spadefoot toad) is the source of this 208-nucleotide non-coding RNA. NCBI's taxonomy places the organism in Eukaryota, Metazoa, Chordata, Amphibia, Anura, Pelobatidae. The record is from the annotation of a GenBank genome assembly.
CCCAUCUCACCUUAUCAGAACUCUCUCCCCUUGUCUUGUGGCUUCCUUAACACACAUCUUCAACUGCUCUCUCUCUUCUGGCAUUGUCCCUGCUGACCUUAAACAUGCCACUGUAGUACCUAUCCUGAAAAAAACAUCUCUUGACCCGUCCUCCCCCUCUAACUAUCGUCCCAUAUCCCUGCUACCUUUUUCCUUAAAGCUUCUGGAA